RNAcentral lists this ribosomal RNA (493 nucleotides) under uncultured bacterium. RNAcentral's name for it is "partial 16S ribosomal RNA". It matches the Rfam family "Bacterial small subunit ribosomal RNA", at positions 28 to 507 of the family's 1533-position model. The record is from RNAcentral.
GACGAACGCUGGCGGCGUGCUUAACACAUGCAAGUCGAACGGUGAAGGGACCGGUUUUUGCUGGUUCUGGAUGAGUGGCGAACGGGUGAGUAACACGUGAGUAACCUGCCCCCUUCUUCUGGAUAACCGCAUGAAAGUGUGGCUAAUACGGGAUAUUCUGCGCCUGCUGCAUGGUGGGUGUGGGAAAGAUAUUGUUUCGGUGGGGGAUGGGCUCGCGGCCUAUCAGCUUGUUGGUGGGGUGAUGGCAUACCAAGGCGGUGACGGGUAGCCGGCCUGAGAGGGUGGACGGUCUGGCCGGGGCGGAGGAACGGCCCAGACUCAUACGGGAGGCAGCAGUGAGGAAUAUUGCACAAUGGGCGCAAGACUGAUGCAGCGACGCCGCGUGAGGGAUGGAGGCCUGCGGGUUGUAAACCUCUUUCGCCAGUGAAGUAGGCCGGUCUCUUUUGUGGGUGGUUUGACGGUAGCUGGAUAAGAAGCGCCGGCUAACUACGUG